GGAUUAGAUACCCUGGUAGUCCACGCUGUAAACGAUGAGAACUAGACGUCGGGCGGGUAACUGCUCGGUGUCGCAGCUAACGCGUUAAGUUCUCCGCCUGGGGAGUACGCCGGCAACGGUAAAACUCAAAGGAAUUGACGGGGGCCCGCACAAGCGGUGGAGCAUGUGGUUUAAUUCGAUGCAACGCGAAGAACCUUACCUACCCUUGACAUCCUCGGAACUUGUUAGAGAUAACUUGGUGCCUUCGGGAACCGAGAGACAGGUGCUGCAUGGCUGUCGUCAGCUCGUGCUG
Molecule: ribosomal RNA, 292 nt
Filed under: uncultured bacterium
Lineage: Bacteria
Description: partial 16S ribosomal RNA
Rfam family: Bacterial small subunit ribosomal RNA
Source: RNAcentral